AUUAUUACCAGUAUUCGAUACUGGGUUAUUCACAGCAUUACUAUUCCUUCCUUAUUCAUUGCGGGUUGGUUAUUCGUCAGCCCGGCUUUCACUUGGAAAAAUAGGAGAUUUAGUUCCACGCCUAGAUUCCGCGAUAAGUUCUGA
This 144-nucleotide ribosomal RNA is filed under the name Triticum aestivum (bread wheat). RNAcentral's name for it is "partial small subunit ribosomal RNA". The record is from RNAcentral. Lineage: Eukaryota; Viridiplantae; Streptophyta; Magnoliopsida; Poales; Poaceae.